This 1157-nucleotide ribosomal RNA is filed under the name Candidatus Phytoplasma trifolii. RNAcentral's name for it is "bacterial SSU rRNA". It matches the Rfam family "Bacterial small subunit ribosomal RNA", at positions 173 to 1353 of the family's 1533-position model. The record is from RNAcentral. Lineage: Bacteria; Bacillati; Mycoplasmatota; Mollicutes; Acholeplasmatales; Acholeplasmataceae.
GUUUUAAAGACCUUCUUAUGAAGGUAUGCUUAAAGAGGGGCUUGCGCCACAUUAGUUAGUUGGUAGGGUAAAAGCCUACCAAGACGAUGAUGUGUAGCUGGACUGAGAGGUUGAACAGCCACAUUGGGACUGAGACACGGCCCAAACUCCUACGGGAGGCAGCAGUAGGGAAUUUUCGGCAAUGGAGGAAACUCUGACCGAGCAACGCCGCGUGAACGAUGAAGUAUUUCGGUAUGUAAAGUUCUUUUAUUGAAGAAGAAAAAGUAGUGGAAAAACUAUAUUGACGUUAUUCAAUGAAUAAGCCCCGGCUAACUAUGUGCCAGCAGCCGCGGUAAGACAUAGGGGGCGAGCGUUAUCCGGAAUUAUUGGGCGUAAAGGGUGCGUAGGCUGUUAGAUAAGUCUAUAAUUUAAUUUCAGUGCUUAACGCUGUCUUGUUAUAGAAACUGUCUUGACUAGAGUGAGAUAGAGGCAAGCGGAAUUCCAUGUGUAGCGGUAAAAUGUGUAAAUAUAUGGAGGAACACCAGAAGCGUAGGCGGCUUGCUGGGUCUUUACUGACGCUGAGGCACGAAAGCGUGGGUAGCAAACAGGAUUAGAUACCCUGGUAGUCCACGCCGUAAACGAUGAGUACUAAGUGUCGGGGUAAAACUCGGUACUGAAGUUAACACAUUAAGUACUCCGCCUGAGUAGUACGUACGCAAGUAUGAAACUUAAAGGAAUUGACGGGACUCCGCACAAGCGGUGGAUCAUGUUGUUUAAUUCGAAGAUACACGAAAAAUCUUACCAGGUCUUGACAUACUCUGCAAAGCUAUAGAAAUAUAGUGGAGGUUAUCAGGGAUACAGGUGGUGCAUGGUUGUCGUCAGUUCGUGUCGUGAGAUGUUAGGUUAAGUCCUAAAACGAGCGCAACCCUUGUCGUUAAUUGCCAGCACGUAAUGGUGGGGACUUUAGCGAGACUGCCAAUUAAACAUUGGAGGAAGGUGAGGAUUACGUCAAAUCAUCAUGCCCCUUAUGAUCUGGGCUACAAACGUGAUACAAUGGCUGUGACAAAGAGUAGCUGAAACGCGAGUUUUUAGCCAAUCUCAAAAAAGCAGUCUCAGUUCGGAUUGAAGUCUGUAACUCGACUUCAUGAAGUUGGAAUCGCUAGUAAUCGCGAAUCAGC